GUGAUACUACAAUAACCGUUCACUAAUUAUGAGUUGAUCAUGAAGUAAGUAUGCUCAUUAGUUUCGUAUCGUGAUUUGUAAUCCAUCCAUACAAAAGGUUUUGUAAAUAGAUUUUAUUUAGUACUCUGAAAUAGGAAGAUUUCCUUUCAUCCGUAACCAUCGGAUACUACAAUAACCGUUCACUAAUUAUGAGUUGAUCAUGAAGUAAGUAUGCUCAUUAGUUUCGUCUCGUGAUUUGUAAUCCAUCCAUACAAAAAGUUUUGUAAAUAGAUUUUAUUUAGUACUCUGAAAUAGGAAGAUUUCCUUUCAUCCGUAACCAUCGGAUACUACAAUAACCGUUCACUAAUUAUGAGUUGAUCAUGAAGUAAGUAUGCUCAUUAGUUUCGUCUCGUGAUUUGUAAUCCAUCCAUACAAAAAGUUUUGUAAAUAGAUUUUAUUUAGUACUCUGAAAUAGGAAGAUUUCCUUUCAUCCGUAACCAUCGGAUACUACAAUAACCGUUCACUAAUUAUGAGUUGAUCAUGAAGUAAGUAUGCUCAUUAGUUUCGUCUCGUGAUUUGUAAUCCAUCCAUACAAAAAGUUUUGUAAAUAGAUUUUAUUUAGUA
Molecule: long non-coding RNA, 603 nt
Organism: Panicum virgatum (switchgrass)
Lineage: Eukaryota; Viridiplantae; Streptophyta; Magnoliopsida; Poales; Poaceae
Exons: 3
Source: RefSeq, a predicted model, not a curated record